UGCGUAGGCGGCUCUCUAAGUCGGAUGUGAAAACUCUGGGCUCAACCCAGAGCCUGCAUCCGAAACUGGAGGGCUAGGGUUCUGGAGGGGAAAGCGGAAUUCCUGGUGUAGCGGUGAAAUGCGUAGAUAUCAGGAGGAACACCGGUGGCGAAGGCGGCUUUCUGGACAGAUACCGACGCUGAGGCACGAAAGCUAGGGAGCAAACA
RNAcentral lists this ribosomal RNA (206 nucleotides) under uncultured bacterium. Its description in RNAcentral is "partial 16S ribosomal RNA". It matches the Rfam family "Bacterial small subunit ribosomal RNA", at positions 568 to 774 of the family's 1533-position model. The record is from RNAcentral.